CUCUGCUGGGUCUCUGCUGCGUUCAUCAAUAGGAAAAGGUACCCUAACUCACUUGUUUCAAUGGGAACAAAUGAACAGUGCCAACGGGGUGAGUUUGAGUUUGUUGGGAUCUUUGUCAAAACCACCAUGUCUGGCGCCCAUUAACAAGUACCUUUCAUGAAGAGCAAUCUAGGUCACAGAACCAAAGCAAUAGUUGGGUGUUAGUAAUCUAGCUGACAUACACAACUCAGGAGGUUUCUGAAGAAGCUUUCUACGAGGCUGAGUGUGUACUGUGAGUUGCGGAAAGAAACAGGUGGCCAGACACAGUGGAUCCAUCAAAAGGAAAAAAAAGACAAUUGAAGAAGAAUGCCACAUCAUGGUGCGCCACAAUUUAAAGUCCUUGAGAGCUGGUGGCAGAGAUUUGGUCCCUCACUGCAGGGCAGCAGCAGCAUUAUUUCCCCCUUUCGUUUGCGGAAGCUGAUGCUUUGCAAUGCUGGCCAGAAUAUGAAGCUCAACCAAAAGUGGCGUUGUUCUACCUGUCUUCUCUCCAGUCUGGUCUCUGGUUGUGUCCCUUCUGGCCUCAUGGGUGUGUCAACACCAAAGCUGGCAAAGUAUCAGUCUGGCAUGGCCCUCGGCACACAGCUGACACAGGAUUCACUUCACCAGUGAAGUGAAGGUAUCGGGUGGGUGGGUUGGUUUUCGAUCGCCGACUUUCUUCAACACGGAAGUUUACAUUGUAGCCGACGUUGUUGUUGCUCUGAAAGUCCUAGUAGAAUCAGAAACGCGUUCAGAAGGUUUCGAGUUGCAUGGACAAUGGGGUCCCAAUAACAGGGUCCUGUAAACCCGCAGAGGCAGCAGUUAGGGUUUUUACUUGCUGGUGAGAAGUUUCGCAGAGGUGAUUGUAUUAGGACUUAAGAUAAUGGACAAAGGUUGCCUUCUAUGAUUGGUCGUGGUAAAUUUGGUGAACAUUUUCAGCCGAUUGAUCAUCUCCACCUUUGAGUAGUUGGCUUUUGAAGCACUCAAAGAUCUUGCACCCAAAGAUGAAGUAUCAUCAGAUCUCUCCCUCUUUCUCAUGUUUUGAAAGCCGAUUCUCAUUACAUUUUCUGUUUAAAGAUACAUGAUCGAAGUUCACAUACUACUCUUUCUGCAUAUCUUCAAUUGCGAACUCUACAAGGUACUUCAGUCUCAGUGUGUGAUGCACUUACUUUGGGUCACUGGAAAUGAAAUAGAUCUCAUAUCUGAGCAUUUUCGGUGAACAUGGAAGGUUUUCCGGAGCUACAAAAGUUAGGAAUUGUUGUUAGCCAUCUGUAUGAAAAGGUUGGUUCCACAGGGAAUUUUCAUCAAGAUAUCUUUGGUUUUUGUACUGCGCUUCACCACUCUUAACUAGACAAGGCACUUAUGAAUACAAAUCUCAGAAUUAUAAUAGAAUAGAGCUUUCAGAUUUCGUUUAGUUUUUAGAUACAAGCUUUUAAACACAAGAGGCUCUCACCAGCUUCAAUAGUUCACCUCUGAUAUAAUGUUGAAUUUGAGAAGUACAUGAACUCAAAAGUCUUCCAAGCCUUUUGGAAACAUAUUCCUGUUGAUAAAUUACAGUGAUGGCUAUUACAGAAAUAGAUAUGUCACGUCUGUAGCAUUCAAUAGACAUCGAGAGGUUGGUCACAGCAACAGCUUACCAGUAGGAUUGGACCAGAAUCAAAAAGAAAUCAAAGAGUCAUAGUAUAUCGCAUUUCAAUU
Physcomitrium patens is the source of this 1713-nucleotide long non-coding RNA. RefSeq lists it as uncharacterized. The record is from RefSeq and is a predicted model, not a curated record. Lineage: Eukaryota; Viridiplantae; Streptophyta; Bryopsida; Funariales; Funariaceae.